Molecule: ribosomal RNA, 465 nt
Filed under: uncultured bacterium
Lineage: Bacteria
Description: partial 16S ribosomal RNA
Rfam family: Bacterial small subunit ribosomal RNA
Source: RNAcentral
GACGAACGCUGGCGGCGUGCUUAACACAUGCAAGUCGAACGGAAAGGCCCUGCUUGCAGGGUACUCGAGUGGCGAACGGGUGAGUAACACGUGGGUGAUCUGCCCUGCACUUCGGGAUAAGCCUGGGAAACUGGGUCUAAUACCGGAUAGGAGCCAUUUUUAGUGUGAUGGUUGGAAAGUUUUUUCGGUGUAGGAUGAGCUCGCGGCCUAUCAGCUUGUUGGUGGGGUAAUGGCCUACCAAGGCGGCGACGGGUAGCCGGCCUGAGAGGGUGGACGGCCACAGUGGGACUGAGAUAAGGCCCAGACUCCUACGGGAGGCAGCAGUGGGGAAUAUUGCACAAUGGGCGCAAGCCUGAUGCAGCGACGCCGCGGGGGGGAUGACGGCCUUCGGGUUGUAAACUCCUUUCGCUAGGGACGAAGCUUUUUGUGACGGUACCUAGAUAAGAAGCACCGGCUAACUACGUG